AAUAUUGCGCAAUGGAGGGAACUCUGACGCAGCGACGCCGCGUGUGCGAUGAAGGUCUUCGGAUCGUAAAGCUCUGUCCUUGGGGAAGAAGGUCUUCGGACUUGACGGUACCUAAGGAGGUAGCCCCGGCUAACUACGUGCCACAACCCGCGGUAAUACGUAGGGGGCAAGCGUUGUCCGGAAUUAUUGGGCGUAAAGGGUGCGUUGGCGGCCUUUUAAGUAAGAUGGGAAAGCCCACGGCUUAACCGUGGGACUGCAUUUGAAACUGGAGGGCUUGAGUAUCGGAGAGGGUAGUGGAAUUCCCAGUGUAGCGGUGGAAUGCGUAGAUAUUGGGAGGAACGCCAGUGGCGAAGGCGACUACCUGGACGAAAACUGACGCUGAGGCACGAAAGCUAGGGGAGCAAACA
RNAcentral lists this ribosomal RNA (407 nucleotides) under uncultured bacterium. RNAcentral's name for it is "partial 16S ribosomal RNA". It matches the Rfam family "Bacterial small subunit ribosomal RNA", at positions 360 to 774 of the family's 1533-position model. The record is from RNAcentral.